AGAGUUUGAUCCUGGCUCAGGAUGAACGCUAGCGGCAGGCUUAACACAUGCAAGUCGAGGGGCAGCGCGAGGUAGCAAUACUUUGGCGGCGACCGGCGAAAGGGUGCGUAACGCGUGAGCAACUUGCCCGUAUCUGGGUCAUAACCGAUGGAAACGUCGACUAAUUACCCAUAACAACAGAGGCCGCAUGACUUCUGUUUGAAAGAUCCGUCGGAUACGGAUGGGCUCGCGAGACAUUAGCUAGUUGGAGUGGUAACGGCACACCAAGGCUACGAUGUCUAGGGGUUCUGAGAGGAAGGUCCCCCACAUUGGAACUGAGACACGGUCCAAACUCCUACGGGAGGCAGCAGUGAGGAAUAUUGGUCAAUGGACGCAAGUCUGAACCAGCCAUGCCGCGUGAAGGAAUAAGGCCCUAUGGGUCGUAAACUUCUUUUGUGGUGGAGCAAUAAGUCGUACGUGUACGGCGAUGAGAGUACAUCACGAAUAAGCAUCGGCUAACUCCGUGCCAGCAGCCGCGGUAAUACGGAGGAUGCAAGCGUUAUCCGGAUUUAUUGGGUUUAAAGGGUGCGUAGGCUGUGCGGCAAGUCAGGGGUGAAAUACCUGAGCCUAACUCAGGAACUGCCUUUGAUACUGUCGCGCUGGAAUACGGAUGCCGUGGGAGGAAUGAGUAGUGUAGCGGUGAAAUGCAUAGAUAUUACUCAGAACACCGAUUGCGAAGGCAUCUCACGAAUCCGUCAUUGACGCUGAGGCACGAAAGCGUGGGGAUCAAACAGGAUUAGAUACCCUGGUAGUCCACGCAGUAAACGAUGAUAACUAACCGUCGGCGAUACACAGUCGGUGGCCAAGCGAAAGCGAUAAGUUAUCCACCUGGGGAGUACGUUCGCAAGAAUGAAACUCAAAGGAAUUGACGGGGGCCCGCACAAGCGGAGGAACAUGUGGUUUAAUUUGACGCAACGCGAAGAACCUUACCAAGCCUUGACAUUGAUUGCUAUGGAUAGAGAUAUCCAGUUCCUCUUCGGAGGACAAGAAAACAGGUGGUGCACGGCUGUCGUCAGCUCGUGUCGUGAGAUGUUGGGUUAAGUCCCGCAACGAGCGCAACCCCUAUCUUCUGUUACCAGCGAGUUAAGUCGGGGACUCAGGAGAGACUGCCGCAGACAAUGCGGAGGAAGGCGGGGAUGACGUCAAGUCAUCAUGCCCCUUAUGGCUUGGCUACACACGUACUACAAUGGCUCUUAAUAGAGGGAAGCGAAGGAGCAAUCCGGAGCAAACCCCAAAAACAGAGUCCCAGUUCGGAUUGCAGGCUGCAACUCGCCUGCAUGAAGCAGGAAUCGCUAGUAAUCGCAGGUCAGCAUACUGCGGUGAAUACGUUCCCGGGCCUUGUACUCACCGCCCGUCAAG
This 1398-nucleotide ribosomal RNA is filed under the name uncultured bacterium. Its description in RNAcentral is "bacterial SSU rRNA". It matches the Rfam family "Bacterial small subunit ribosomal RNA". The record is from RNAcentral.